AGUCUUAUAGUUUAUUAAAAAUGUUAAAUUGCAAGUUUAAAGAAAAGAAAAUUUAAGACUU
Molecule: transfer RNA, 61 nt
Filed under: Alectorobius mimon
Lineage: Eukaryota; Metazoa; Arthropoda; Arachnida; Ixodida; Argasidae
Description: tRNA-Cys
Source: RNAcentral